AGUGAACGCUGGCGGUAGGCCUAACACAUGCAAGUCGAACGGCAGCACAGUAAGAGCUUGCUCUUACGGGUGGCGAGUGGCGGACGGGUGAGGAAUACAUCGGAAUCUACUUUUUCGUGGGGGAUAACGUAGGGAAACUUACGCUAAUACCGCAUACGACCUACGGGUGAAAGCAGGGGAUCUUCGGACCUUGCGCGAUUGAAUGAGCCGAUGUCGGAUUAGCUAGUUGGCGGGGUAAAGGCCCACCAAGGCGACGAUCCGUAGCUGGUCUGAGAGGAUGAUCAGCCACACUGGAACUGAGACACGGUCCAGACUCCUACGGGAGGCAGCAGUGGGGAAUAUUGGACAAUGGGCGCAAGCCUGAUCCAGCCGUACCGCGUGGGUGAAGAGGGCCUUCGGGUUGUAAAGCCCUUUUGUUGGGAAAGAAAAGCAGCAGGUUAAUACCCCGCUGUUCUGACGGUACCCAAAGAAUAAGCACCGGCUAACUUCGUG
RNAcentral lists this ribosomal RNA (492 nucleotides) under uncultured bacterium. RNAcentral describes it as "partial 16S ribosomal RNA". It matches the Rfam family "Bacterial small subunit ribosomal RNA", at positions 29 to 507 of the family's 1533-position model. The record is from RNAcentral.